UACGUAGGGGGCAAGCGUUGUCCGGAUUUAUUGGGCGUAAAGAGCGUGUAGGCGGCCAGACAGGUCAGCUGUGAAAACUCGAGGCUCAACCUCGAGACGUCGGUUGAAACCGUCUGGCUAGAGUCCGGAAGAGGAGAGUGGAAUUCCCGGUGUAGCGGUGAAAUGCGCAGAUAUCGGGAAGAACACCCGUGGCGAAGGCGGGUCUCUGGGCCAAUACUGACGCUGAGGAGCGAAAGCGUGGGGAGCGAACAGG
RNAcentral lists this ribosomal RNA (253 nucleotides) under uncultured bacterium. RNAcentral's name for it is "partial 16S ribosomal RNA". It matches the Rfam family "Bacterial small subunit ribosomal RNA", at positions 524 to 776 of the family's 1533-position model. The record is from RNAcentral.